GAAAGGCGCUUUUGCGUCACUGAUGGAUGGACCCGCGGUGCAUUAGCUAGUUGGUGAGGUAACGGCUCACCAAGGCCACGAUGCAUAGCCGACCUGAGAGGGUGAUCGGCCACACUGGGACUGAGACACGGCCCAGACUCCUACGGGAGGCAGCAGUAGGGAAUCUUCGGCAAUGGACGAAAGUCUGACCGAGCAACGCCGCGUGAGUGAAGAAGGUUUUCGGAUCGUAAAACUCUGUUGUUAGAGAAGAACAAGGAUGAGAGUAGAACGUUCAUCCCUUGACGGUAUCUAACCAGAAAGCCACGGCUAACUACGUGCCAGCAGCCGCGGUAAUACGUGGGUGGCAAGCGUUGUCCGGAUUUAUUGGGCGUAAAGCGAGCGCAGGCGGUUUCUUAAGUCUGAUGUGAAAGCCCCCGGCCCAACCGGGGAGGGUCAUUGGAAACUGGGAGACUUGAGUGCAGAAGAGGAGAGUGGAAUUCCAUGUGUAGCGGUGAAAUGCGUAGAUAUAUGGAGGAACACCAGUGGCGAAGGCGGCUCUCUGGUCUGUAACUGACGCUGAGGCUCGAAAGCGUGGGGAGCGAACAGGAUUAGAUACCCUGGUAGUCCACGCCGUAAACGAUGAGUGCUAAGUGUUGGAGGGUUUCCGCCCUUCA
RNAcentral lists this ribosomal RNA (653 nucleotides) under uncultured bacterium. RNAcentral describes it as "bacterial SSU rRNA". It matches the Rfam family "Bacterial small subunit ribosomal RNA", at positions 202 to 842 of the family's 1533-position model. The record is from RNAcentral.